GGAAGGGRUGUAUUUAUUAGAUUAAAAACCAAUGCCCUUCGGGGCUCACUGGUGAUUCAUGAUAACUCCUCGAAUCGCAUGGCCUUGUGCCGGCGAUGGUUCAUUCAAAUUUCUUCCCUAUCAACUUUCGAUGUUUGGGUAUUGGCCAAACAUGGUUGCAACGGGUAACGGAGGGUUAGGGCUCGACCCCGGAGAAGGAGCCUGAGAAACGGCUACUACAUCCAAGGAAGGCAGCAGGCGCGCAAAUUACCCAAUCCCGACACGGGGAGGUAGUGACAAUAAAUACUGAUACAGGGCUCUUUUGGGUCUUGUAAUUGGAAUGAGUACAAUUUAAAUCCCUUAACGAGGAACAAUUGGAGGGCAAGUCUGGUGCCAGCAGCCGCGGUAAUUCCAGCUCCAAUAGCGUAUAUUAAAGUUGUUGUGGUUAAAAAGCUCGUAGUUGAACCUUGGGCCUGGCUGGCCGGUCCGCCUCACCGCGUGUACUGGUCCGGCCGGGCCUUUCCCUCUGUGGAACCCCAUGCCCUUCACUGGGUGUGGCGGGGAACCAGGACUUUUAC
Molecule: ribosomal RNA, 557 nt
Filed under: uncultured Pezizomycotina
Lineage: Eukaryota; Fungi; Ascomycota
Description: SSU rRNA
Rfam family: Eukaryotic small subunit ribosomal RNA
Source: RNAcentral